Molecule: ribosomal RNA, 254 nt
Filed under: uncultured prokaryote
Description: partial 16S ribosomal RNA
Rfam family: Bacterial small subunit ribosomal RNA
Source: RNAcentral
UACGUAGGGGGCAAGCGUUGUCCGGAAUCACUGGGCGUAAAGUGCACGCAGGCGGCCUGAUAAGUCAGAUGUGAAAGUUUGCAGCUCAACUGUAAAAGUGCAUCUGAUACUGUUAGGCUUGAGUCUCGGAGAGGUAAGCGGAAUUCCUAGUGUAGCGGUGAAAUGCGUAGAGAUUAGGAAGAACACCGGUGGCGAAGGCGGCUUACUGGACGAGUACUGACGCUCAUGUGCGAAAGCGUGGGGAGCGAACAGGA